Molecule: ribosomal RNA, 497 nt
Filed under: uncultured bacterium
Lineage: Bacteria
Description: partial 16S ribosomal RNA
Rfam family: Bacterial small subunit ribosomal RNA
Source: RNAcentral
GAUGAACGCUGGCGGCGUGCCUAAUACAUGCCAGUCGAGCGAACAGAUAAGGAGCUUGCUCCUUUGACGUUAGCGGCGGACGGGUGAGUAACACGUGGAUAACCUACCUAUAAGACUGGGAUAACUUCGGGAAACCGGAGCUAAUACCGGAUAACAUAUUGAACCGCAUGGUUCAAUAGUGAAAGGCGGCUUUGCUGUCACUUAUAGAUGGAUCCGCGCCGUAUUAGCUAGUUGGUAAGGUAACGGCUUACCAAGGCAACGAUACGUAGCCGACCUGAGAGGGUGAUCGGCCACACUGGAACUGAGACACGGUCCAGACUCCUACGGGAGGCAGCAGUAGGGAAUCUUCCGCAAUGGGCGAAAGCCUGACGGAGCAACGCCGCGUGAGUGAUGAAGGUCUUCGGAUCGUAAAACUCUGUUAUCAGGGAAGAACAAAUGUGUAAGUAACUGUGCACAUCUUGACGGUACCUGAUCAGAAAGCCACGGCUAACUACGUG